Molecule: ribosomal RNA, 256 nt
Filed under: uncultured bacterium
Lineage: Bacteria
Description: partial 16S ribosomal RNA
Rfam family: Bacterial small subunit ribosomal RNA
Source: RNAcentral
UACGUAGGGUGCAAGCGUUGUCCGGAAUUAUUGGGCGUAAAGAGCUCGUAGGCGGCCUGUCGCGUCCGCUGUGAAAACCCGGGGCUCAACCCCGGGCUUGCAGUGGAUACGGGCAGGCUAGAGUCCGGAAGAGGAGAGUGGAAUUCCGUGGAUGUAGCGGUGAAAUGCGCAGAUAUCAGGAAGAACACCCGUGGCUAAGGCGGCUCUCUAGUACGGUACUGACGCUGAGACGCGAAAGCGUGGGGGAGCGAACAGG